This 850-nucleotide long non-coding RNA is filed under the name Prunus dulcis (almond). RNAcentral describes it as "sRNA ncRNA". The record is from RNAcentral. Lineage: Eukaryota; Viridiplantae; Streptophyta; Magnoliopsida; Rosales; Rosaceae.
UCACGUUAUUCAUUGGACAUGGUACACGUUCUUAUAUUUAUUAUUUAUCAAAAAUUGAAAAAUAAUUAAAGAUGUAAACCAAUUUGAUUUUUCAUGAAAAUUAGGCACUUUACCAUGCUUAAAAAAUAAUAGUGAAGAUUGAAAAUUAACUAAGAACAUAAAUAAAUUUAUCCAAGGAAGAAUUAAAUAGCAAAUAAUGAAAAUGAUUAUAGAGAUUUAAGUAAUUAAGCAACAAUUUGAAGGAGAAUUUAGUAAUGUAAGUACUUAUAAUGAAUAAUAAAAUAAUCAAUAACAUUAAAUGGAUUAAAUAGAAAAGAAAUAUAUUAUAUUAAAUAAUUUAGUCACAUUUCCCACUUCUCAAGUACUUUCACGUUUCCCUGCCUCCCUCUUCCACUUCCCAAGGUUUUUUUUUUCCUUUUUUUUGUCUGAACUUCCCAUGGUUGCAGAUACACGCAACCUGCCUUCUCUCUCUCCUUUGGGCAUUCACCCAUCUCUCCCUUUUUAUUUUAUUUAUUUAUUCCUCUUCUUCCUCUUCCGUUUCACACACAUACUCUCUCUCUCCCUUUCUUCUUCUAUCUCUCCAUCUCUCUCCCUCUCUUUCUCUUCUUCCUCUUCCCUCUUCUCUCUCCUCCAUCACAAUCCAAAACAGUAAAACAUAAAGACCCACUCCACACCUUUUUUUCCCUCUUCUUCCCUUCUCUCUCUCGCUCUCCUGUAUCUGCUUUUCUUUUUCUUUCUUCUUCUAUCUCUCCGUCUCUUUCCCUACUUCCUCUUCCCUCUUCUCUAUCGCUUCAUCACAAUCCAAAACAGCAAAACAUAAAAACCCAUUUAAGGCUGAGUUUAAUUUUGU